UCGCACUGCCAAGUGACUGGGUUUCCUUCAUCAUGGUCUUCCAUUCUCAUUCCAGUGCCAGAGUGACCUCAGUUUGCAGAAGGGAUGAGCUAGACUACUGGUUCCCCCCUUUCGAAGACCGAGAACAAAU
Molecule: small nucleolar RNA, 130 nt
Organism: Eleginops maclovinus (Patagonian blennie)
Lineage: Eukaryota; Metazoa; Chordata; Actinopteri; Perciformes; Eleginopidae
Source: RefSeq, a predicted model, not a curated record